This 432-nucleotide ribosomal RNA is filed under the name uncultured bacterium. RNAcentral's name for it is "partial 16S ribosomal RNA". It matches the Rfam family "Bacterial small subunit ribosomal RNA", at positions 29 to 506 of the family's 1533-position model. The record is from RNAcentral.
AACGAACGCUGGCGGCAUGCCUAACACAUGCAAGUCGAACGAGACCUUCGGGUCUAGUGGCGCACGGGUGCGUAACGCGUGGGAACCUGCCCUUAGGUUCGGAAUAACUCCCCGAAAGGGGUGCUAAUACCGGAUAAUGUCUUCGGACCAAAGAUUUAUCGCCUUUGGAUGGGCCCGCGUUGGAUUAGCUAGUUGGUAGGGUAAAAGCCUACCAAGGCGACGAUCCAUAGCUGGUCUGAGAGGAUGAUCAGCCACACUGGGACUGAGACACGGCCCAGACUCCUACGGGAGGCAGCAGGGGGGAAUAUUGGACAAUGGGCGAAAGCCUGAUCCAGCAAUGCCGCGGGAGUGAUGAAGGCCUUAGGGUUGUAAAGCUCUUUUACCCGGGAUGAUAAUGACAGUACCGGGAGAAUAAGCUCCGGCUAACUCCGU